RNAcentral lists this long non-coding RNA (4879 nucleotides) under Sus scrofa (pig). Its description in RNAcentral is "lncRNA (ENSSSCG00030051813.1)". Lineage: Eukaryota; Metazoa; Chordata; Mammalia; Artiodactyla; Suidae. The record is from RNAcentral.
UUUUAUUGAAAGCAAUAAGCAAGUCUGCAUGUUUUCCCAGGGGGGCAGGAAGGUUACAACAUCUCAAGGGUUAUCAACUGCACAAGCCAUCUUGAGAAAUGGUACAGAAAAAAGGAGCCAUCAGGGUAGCCUUGGCACACCCGGGAAGUUGUGUAGGACCACAGGAGGAGCAAGGGGGAUGAUAUCUUUAUAGAUCAUGGAUAUUCUAUAUAGAUAAUACUUAUCUAGAUUUGGUUGUCAUGGUCUGAAUAGCAAUUAUGUAUUACCAUGUUUAAUAUACUGUUACAUCUCAAUUAAAUUAGUUAAAAAUUAAUAUAGUAGAAAUUCUGUAAGGUGGGCUCCAUGAUUCUCACUUCUUGGUAUUCAUGCCCCUCUAUCAUCCACUCCUGAGUGGGCAUGGGACCUGUGACUUGCUUCUAACCAACAGAAUGUAGCAAAUGUAAUGGGCUGUCACUUCCAUGGUUAUCAUAUGUUAAGUAUGACUGUCUUGCUGGCAGUCUCACUCUAGAAACUAUUAUCUGGGCUGACGGAGUAAGCAGCUGUGUUGGGGACACCCAUGUAGCAAGGGACUUGGGGCAGCCUCUAGGAAAUGAUGGUAGCCUCUGCCCAGCAAGAAGCCAGAUUUUCAUUUUUCAGUCCUGUGUCUGCAAAGGAAUGAAUUCUGCCAACAGCCUAAGUGAACUUGGAAGUAACUCAUGUUCCAUCCCCAGACGAGAAGGUAGUGUAGCUAAAACCUUUAUUGAAGUCCAAGAGACCCUAAGCUGAGGCCCAGACUCCUAACCAGCAGAAACUUUGAGGUAAUAAAUGCAAGUUGUUUUAAUCACUAAAUGUGUACUAUUUUUUUCCCACAGCAAUGGAUAACAAGUACACUCCAAUAAUUCAACAUGUAUCAAUGAUAUCCUUUAAGAAUAGUAACUGCUAUUUUAAUGAAUGGCAAAUGAUCAAUAGGAUGUUCUGAUGUUGAAAACACCUUAUAAUUUCAUUUUGUGUGUAAUCUUUUAAAAUUGUAUUAUCAUCUAAAUUUAAUUUUCAUAGAAAAGUAUUAUCUAAACCAUCUGAAAAAAGUGACCACCAAUGAUUUUUAACUUCUUAUGAUAAAACCUGCCAUAGUGAGUACAGAUUCAUUAAAUAGUGAUGGCUCUGAGCUGUUGCUGCUGAGGAUACAUUUAGAACUUAACACAGCUGAUGUCGUGGUCCUUGGCCAUGGGAGAAUUUGCCAUCAGUCCAGAUGCCAAUUAGAAAAGGAAUCUUUUGAUUACAGGGAAAUGCCUAUAACCUGAAGUAUUGUUUUCUUGGGGAUAGCAAGUAUAAGUGGCAACCAACAUUUGCAGAGCUUAUUGGAAAAAAUUAACCUUCACAGAAAUCAGCUUUUGAAGACUAAUGGCUUUCAACAAAUGGUAAAUGAGUUUCAAUUCAAGAAGAAUCUAUCAAAAACAUAUUGAGGGUGAGGCACCAACAGAGACACCAAGAAAAAGAAAGUAGAUCAGCAGAAUAUGGGAAAGGAAGAAUAGAUAUCCAACCAGAAAAGAGGCUGAGUCCAGGCAUUCAUACCAGUUCCUUAUUAAGGAAAAUCCGUAAACUAAAAUCAAAAUAUAUUUACAUAAUAUUGAGAUUUAUUGAUUACAAUUAUGUAUAAGCUAACAUUUACUAAAUUGCAAGCUAGUUUUUUUGUGGGGAUUUAGCUGUUCUCAGCAAAUAAUUUUAUCAUUUUAAUAACAUCCCAAGUUAAAACAUGAUAAUAGUUACUGUCAUAUUUAGAUCGUUGGCCUAGGUAGUACUUAUUUGACUAUUAUAAUCUAGGCCAUGUUGCUAAAUACUUGAAUAUUUUUUAAUGAUUUGCAAACAUGUUUACUCUCCUGGUGAUCAACUUGGGAUCUAUUAUUAUUAUGUUUUGCCCAUAAGAGAAUUGACUCACAUAGUGUGAAUAUCAGAGUUAAAAUCAUAAAAAUGUUUGAAAGAAAAGUUGCAGCCAUCAUAACAUAUCUGUAAGCUGUCACUUACAGCUUACAUUUUCGUCUAAAUUUUGCAGUAAGUUUUUCUAAGCCUAAAAAGCUUUGAUUGAGGUUAAGUCAUAUAUUCUGAGGUACUUUGGAACACUACACAAACUUUAGGGUGUGAAUUACUUCUCCCCUGGAAAGGAUCUCAUUCACUGAUUGCUCAUUAGCCAAUCUUGGGAGGCAUAAUUUCACUGUAUGCAUCUUUGCAUAUAUUUUCUAAAGCGCACAGUUUCAGAUUUACUACAACAUUAGAGUUCUUUGCUGUGCUUACACUGAUAACCCUGGGUCUGGAUAAAAUACUUGGUUGUUUGUUUUCAUUCUUUGCAGUUGUAAAAAACACAGGUGUUGGAUCAUUUCUCUUUUCACUGUCAGGCUUCAGUGAGUACUGCCCUUUCUGCAAUGCAAUAAUUAGGCAAGGGAUCAUUUCACUCCCUUUAAUCUUUGAAGAUGAGGUAAAGCAGGACAAGAUGGAAUUUUCAGCAAAGAGGCUAAGAAAAUAUUGUAGAAACAUGUCUCGUGACAAGUACUUCAUUUCUUUUUGUUACCAAAUAACAUUUUAUUUAUCCAAUCAUCAGAUGAUGGACAUGUAGGUUGUUUUUGCUUUUUGGCUGUUAUGAACAUAUGUGUACACACUUUUUUGUGGAGAUAUAGAUUCAUUUCUCUAGGAGUGGGAUUGAUGGAUUAUAAGGUAGCUGUUUAAUCAUCUGAGGAAAUGCCAAAGUUUUCUAAAGUGACUGCACCAUUUUACAUCCCUACCUUUAGUGUAUAAACGUUCCAGUUUCUCUACAACCUCACCAACACUUGUCUUAAUAAUAGCAUCUGAGCGGGUGUGAGGUGGUAUUUCACCGUGAUUUGGAUUCUUAUAUCCCUCAUGACUAGUGAUGUUGAGAGUCUUUUCAGGUGCUUUUCUUUACACUCUGACCAUGUGCUCUUUUUCAGAAAAAGCUCCAUGUUGUUUAGGGAGUAGAGGAUCAAAAUAGUGAUAUAUGUUGUAUGAGGUUAUUUGAGUGUGUUUUUGUGUCUCUGUGAUGGUAUUACGUCCUAAUCCAUGCAAGAUUAUCUCUACUGGUGAGAAGAUUUCUAUUUUGGAAAGAAUGAAGUACAGAAGAGUUAAAGGAAAACAAAGUAAAAGAGAGCAAUUCAAAAAUCACAGAGAAAACUGAGGGUUAAGUUUAGGAAUGCAAGAAUCCAAAAGUUAGAGAGAACAUGUUAAAAAUCCAAGGUGAAGCAAAAUGUGUGUUUUCUGGGAAAUGGAUGAAAUAUCUUUUGCAACCCCUUAUUGACCAUUAGAGUCUUAGAGAAUUAGAGAGUUGCCAGUUGGAGAAUUGGCCAAUUUAUAGGUACAGUGUCAUUGAGAACAAUUAAGUGUUUAAAGUCUCCAUUUUAUACCUUGCAUUAGGUACUUUAGGGCUACAGAAUAUCCUUCCACUCCCAAAAAAUAAAGAAAAGAAAGAAAGAACCAGAAGGAGGCUUACGAUUAUAUUCUGUCUGAACCUGCUAGUGCUGAUGUGUGCUGACAACAGACAGGUCAGAAACAUAAAGCUGAAAACCCACAGGUAAACUGGAGGAUGGAAAAGAUGUGGGAAUUGUGAUGAUUGAUAAUAGGGCUCAGAUUGUCAUCAAUAUAAUGUCUGGGAAAAGACAUAUCAUUGCUCUCCAAGGUUAAAAGAAAAAUCCAAAACUAAAACUAAGUGAUAUUAGUGUGAAGUCCAAGGACAAAACAAAACAAAUAGAUGAGCAACAAAAUGUAGCAGGCAGCAAGUUCAAAUUAUUUACAACACUUAAAAGUUAAAGAUCCUGGUGUUCCUGCUGUAGUGCAACAGGAUCCAUGGCUUCCCUGAAGUGCCAGGAUGCAGGUUCAAUCCCCAGCCUGGUACAGUGGGUUAAAGGAUCCGGUAUUGCAAUUCCAGGGUACACCAAUGGGGUGCUCCAUAUGCUGCAGGGCAACCAAAAAGAAAAAAAGUUAAAGGUCCUGACCACACAUACAUUUUUGUCUCUUUAAAGAGUCAUCUCCCUAAGUAUAGUCACACAACGAUAAUGAAUUUUAAUCCCCCAUUUCCUGGAUGAGGAAUUAAGGAUCAAAGAAACUAAGGAGAUUAUCCAAUUAAGCUAAUACUGGCUAUAUUAAUAGACAUAGAACUAGAACUGAGAUCUAAUCCCAAAUAAAGUGAUUUUCCUAUUUCCUAUUGCUACCUUUUCAAGCCAAUAGCAAGUUAGGUCUAGCUCUUUAUGCUAUAAAAUGGGGAGAGAAUAUUUGAUAAGAAUAUGAUUAAUUUAGGGUUAACAAACUCUUUUUUUUUUUUUUUGUCUUUUUUGCCAUUUUUCUUGGGCCGCUCCCUUGGCAUAUGGAGGUUCACAGGCUAGGGGUCUAAUCAGAGCUGCAGCUGCUGGCCUACACCACAGCCACAGCAACGCAGGAUCUGAGCCACGUCUGCGACCUACACCACAGCUCAUGGCAAUGCCGGAUCCUUAACCCACUGAGCAAGGCCAGGGACUGAACCCGAAACCUCAUGGUUCCUAGUCGGAUUCGUUAACCACUGGGCCACGAUGGGAACUCCAUAGGGCUAACAAACUCUAUAAUUCAGUUUCUCUUUCUCUAUUUCCCAGUUUACUCUGUAACUAUCAACUCAAGAAAAUGAUGGACUUGGAGAAGAGACUUGUGGCUGCCUGAUGGCAGGGGGAGGGAGUGGGAGGGAUCGGGAGCUUGGGCUUAUCAGACACAAUUUAGAAUAGAUUUACAAGGAGAUCCUGCUGAAUAGCAUUGAGAACUAUGUCUAGAUACUCAUGUUGCAACAGAACAAAGGGUGGGGGAAAAAAUGUAAUUGUAAUGUAUACAUGUAAGGAUAACCUGACCCCCUUGCUGUACAGUGGGAAAAUAAAAA